RNAcentral lists this small nucleolar RNA (194 nucleotides) under Mesocricetus auratus (golden hamster). Its description in RNAcentral is "Small nucleolar RNA U3". It matches the Rfam family "Small nucleolar RNA U3". Rfam says of the family: Small nucleolar RNAs (snoRNAs) are involved in the processing and modification of rRNA in the nucleolus. There are two main classes of snoRNAs: the box C/D class, and the box H/ACA class. Lineage: Eukaryota; Metazoa; Chordata; Mammalia; Rodentia; Cricetidae. The record is from Rfam by way of RNAcentral.
AAGACUAUACUUUCAGGGAUCAUUUCUAUAGUUCGUUACAAAUGUCUCAGCACAUGGACAGUCUGAGCCUGGGGUGCUGAAGUGUUUUAUUUAGCAAAGGCACAGAUUUCAGUUAAGUCAGUAGAGAAGCAGUGCUGUGUUUGUAUAUGGAAUCAUAUAUGUUAGGUUCCACAAUAGAGCACUUUCAGGCAAGC